This 253-nucleotide ribosomal RNA is filed under the name uncultured bacterium. RNAcentral's name for it is "partial 16S ribosomal RNA". It matches the Rfam family "Bacterial small subunit ribosomal RNA", at positions 524 to 776 of the family's 1533-position model. The record is from RNAcentral.
UACGUAGGGUGCGAGCGUUAAUCGGAAUUACUGGGCGUAAGGCGUGCGCAGGCGGUUUUGUAAGCCAGAUGUGAAAUCCCCGGGCUUAACCUGGGAAUGGCAUUUGGGACUGCAAGGCUUGAGUGCGGCAGAGGAGACUGGAAUUCCUGGUGUAGCAGUGAAAUGCGUAGAUAUCAGGAGGAACACCGGUGGCGAAGGCGGGUCUCUGGGCCGAUACUGACGCUGAGGAGCGAAAGCGUGGGGAGCGAACAGG